This 2904-nucleotide ribosomal RNA is filed under the name Escherichia coli. RNAcentral describes it as "23S ribosomal RNA". It matches the Rfam family "Bacterial large subunit ribosomal RNA". Lineage: Bacteria; Pseudomonadati; Pseudomonadota; Gammaproteobacteria; Enterobacterales; Enterobacteriaceae. The record is from RNAcentral.
GGUUAAGCGACUAAGCGUACACGGUGGAUGCCCUGGCAGUCAGAGGCGAUGAAGGACGUGCUAAUCUGCGAUAAGCGUCGGUGAGGUGAUAUGAACCGUUAUAACCGGCGAUUUCCGAAUGGGGAAACCCAGUGUGUUUCGACACACUAUCAUUAACUGAAUCCAUAGGUUAAUGAGGCGAACCGGGGGAACUGAAACAUCUAAGUACCCCGAGGAAAAGAAAUCAACCGAGAUUCCCCCAGUAGCGGCGAGCGAACGGGGAGGAGCCCAGAGCCUGAAUCAGUGUGUGUGUUAGUGGAAGCGUCUGGAAAGGCGCGCGAUACAGGGUGACAGCCCCGUACACAAAAAUGCACAUGCUGUGAGCUCGAUGAGUAGGGCGGGACACGUGGUAUCCUGUCUGAAUAUGGGGGGACCAUCCUCCAAGGCUAAAUACUCCUGACUGACCGAUAGUGAACCAGUACCGUGAGGGAAAGGCGAAAAGAACCCCGGCGAGGGGAGUGAAAAAGAACCUGAAACCGUGUACGUACAAGCAGUGGGAGCCUCUUAAUGGGGUGACUGCGUACCUUUUGUAUAAUGGGUCAGCGACUUAUAUUCUGUAGCAAGGUUAACCGAAUAGGGGAGCCGAAGGGAAACCGAGUCUUAACUGGGCGUUAAGUUGCAGGGUAUAGACCCGAAACCCGGUGAUCUAGCCAUGGGCAGGUUGAAGGUUGGGUAACACUAACUGGAGGACCGAACCGACUAAUGUUGAAAAAUUAGCGGAUGACUUGUGGCUGGGGGUGAAAGGCCAAUCAAACCGGGAGAUAGCUGGUUCUCCCCGAAAGCUAUUUAGGUAGCGCCUCGUGAAUUCAUCUCCGGGGGUAGAGCACUGUUUCGGCAAGGGGGUCAUCCCGACUUACCAACCCGAUGCAAACUGCGAAUACCGGAGAAUGUUAUCACGGGAGACACACGGCGGGUGCUAACGUCCGUCGUGAAGAGGGAAACAACCCAGACCGCCAGCUAAGGUCCCAAAGUCAUGGUUAAGUGGGAAACGAUGUGGGAAGGCCCAGACAGCCAGGAUGUUGGCUUAGAAGCAGCCAUCAUUUAAAGAAAGCGUAAUAGCUCACUGGUCGAGUCGGCCUGCGCGGAAGAUGUAACGGGGCUAAACCAUGCACCGAAGCUGCGGCAGCGACACUAUGUGUUGUUGGGUAGGGGAGCGUUCUGUAAGCCUGUGAAGGUAGCCUGUGAGGGUUGCUGGAGGUAUCAGAAGUGCGAAUGCUGACAUAAGUAACGAUAAAGCGGGUGAAAAGCCCGCUCGCCGGAAGACCAAGGGUUCCUGUCCAACGUUAAUCGGGGCAGGGUGAGUCGACCCCUAAGGCGAGGCCGAAAGGCGUAGUCGAUGGGAAACAGGUUAAUAUUCCUGUACUUGGUGUUACUGCGAAGGGGGGACGGAGAAGGCUAUGUUGGCCGGGCGACGGUUGUCCCGGUUUAAGCGUGUAGGCUGGUUUUCCAGGCAAAUCCGGAAAACCAAGGCUGAGGCGUGAUGACGAGGCACUACGGUGCUGAAGCGACAAAUGCCCUGCUUCCAGGAAAAGCCUCUAAGCAUCAGGUAACAUCAAAUCGUACCCCAAACCGACACAGGUGGUCAGGUAGAGAAUACCAAGGCGCUUGAGAGAACUCGGGUGAAGGAACUAGGCAAAAUGGUGCCGUAACUUCGGGAGAAGGCACGCUGAUAUGUAGGUGAAGCGACUUGCUCGUGGAGCUGAAAUUAGUCGAAGAUACCAGCUGGCUGCAACUGUUUAUUAAAAACACAGCACUGUGCAAACACGAAAGUGGACGUAUACGGUGUGACGCCUGCCCGGUGCCGGAAGGUUAAUUGAUGGGGUUAGCGGUAACGCGAAGCUCUUGAUCGAAGCCCCGGUAAACGGCGGCCGUAACUAUAACGGUCCUAAGGUAGCGAAAUUCCUUGUCGGGUAAGUUCCGACCUGCACGAAUGGCGUAAUGAUGGUCAGGCUGUCUCCACCCGAGACUCAGUGAAAUUGAACUCGCUGUGAAGAUGCAGUGUACCCGCGGCAAGACGGAAAGACCCCGUGAACCUUUACUAUAGCUUGACACUGAACAUUGAGCCUUGAUGUGUAGGAUAGGUGGGAGGCUUUGAAGUGUGGACGCCAGUCUGCAUGGAGCCGACCUUGAAAUACCACCCUUUAAUGUUUGAUGUUCUAACGUUGGCCCGUAAUCCGGGUUGCGGACAGUGUCUGGUGGGUAGUUUGACUGGGGCGGUCUCCUCCUAAAGAGUAACGGAGGAGCACGAAGGUUGGCUAAUCCUGGUCGGACAUCAGGAGGUUAGUGCAAUGGCAUAAGCCAGCUUGACUGCGAGCGUGACGGCGCGAGCAGGUGCGAAAGCAGGUCAUAGUGAUCCGGUGGUUCUGAAUGGAAGGGCCAUCGCUCAACGGAUAAAAGGUACUCCGGGGAUAACAGGCUGAUACCGCCCAAGAGUUCAUAUCGACGGCGGUGUUUGGCACCUCGAUGUCGGCUCAUCACAUCCUGGGGCUGAAGUAGGUCCCAAGGGUAUGGCUGUUCGCCAUUUAAAGUGGUACGCGAGCUGGGUUUAGAACGUCGUGAGACAGUUCGGUCCCUAUCUGCCGUGGGCGCUGGAGAACUGAGGGGGGCUGCUCCUAGUACGAGAGGACCGGAGUGGACGCAUCACUGGUGUUCGGGUUGUCAUGCCAAUGGCACUGCCCGGUAGCUAAAUGCGGAAGAGAUAAGUGCUGAAAGCAUCUAAGCACGAAACUUGCCCCGAGAUGAGUUCUCCCUGACUCCUUGAGAGUCCUGAAGGAACGUUGAAGACGACGACGUUGAUAGGCCGGGUGUGUAAGCGCAGCGAUGCGUUGAGCUAACCGGUACUAAUGAACCGUGAGGCUUAACCUU